CGUGCAGGCGGUUUGGUAAGUUGGAUGUGAAAGCUCCUGGCUUAACUGGGAGAGGUCGUUCAAUACUGCCAGGCUAGAGGACGGUAGAGGAAGGUAGAAUUCCUGGUGUAGUGGUGAAAUGCGUAGAUAUCAGGAGGAAUACCAGAGGCGAAGGCGGCCUUCUGGGCCGUUCCUGACGCUAAGACGCGAAAGCAUGGGUAGCAAACAGGAUUAGAUACCCUGGUAGUCC
This 229-nucleotide ribosomal RNA is filed under the name uncultured bacterium. Its description in RNAcentral is "partial 16S ribosomal RNA". It matches the Rfam family "Bacterial small subunit ribosomal RNA", at positions 568 to 796 of the family's 1533-position model. The record is from RNAcentral.